CCACAACACAAUCUCUCUAAAAAACUGCGAACCAUUAAAUGAAUUUGGUCUCAAUUCGAGGAAAAAUUUUAUACCUAGAAGGUUGGUCGAAAUCUUUCUUAUGGAAAAAGUAGUGGUAAUGGAUCAGGUACGAGGUUUUUCAUCCAUCUUUAGAUUCCUUAAUUUGUUUUCGUUGUAGAGUAUGAUUCUUCGUCACCGGUAAUUCAAGAUAGCUCCUUUGCAAGUUCAAAGUUGGUGGCAGAAUUCUUAAGGAGAUUUUCCACGAGCAGUAAGCAUAACGUUAAAGGAUCAUUCUUCUUACGUAAUCUUUUAUCAGAGCAUUACAUCUUUAAUGCGUGUAUACAUUAAAUGAUCGUUCUUUUAAUCUUCUCUUUUUCUUCACUGAAAAAAAUCCCUAAUUUGGUUUUUUUUUUUUAAAGAGUAACGGUGUCUAGGGAUGAUUUGGAGUCCGGAAAAAAUCCCUAAUUUUCUCUGCUUCUUGAGAUUGACGUGGCUUCCUCAACUAUCUUCACUGAGGUUUCUCAAUUCAAAUGGAUUUUUUUUCCUGUGGGAUUUAUUCGAAUAUUUUGGGUUUGUUGGGUUUUGCUGCCCUGACCUUGCUGAUGAAUGGUCAUGUAAGGUUUUUAAAACUUUUUAAAUUUUUGGGUUUUGUAGUAAUAAAUUAAAGAUUUGAUAAGGACAUUAUUUAUUUCGUGGAAUUCCUUUUAAACAUUAGAAUUUGUUUUGUCUCACAUUUGAUGAUUUAGGUGUUGAGCAGCAAUGCAUUGAUGAUAAUCUCUUUAUAAAAAGGAGCCCUUUUUGUAUGAUGAGAACAGAAGAGUUGCCACAAUGCUCGAGGUCACCAACCCCAGGAUUGGAGCUGCUUCAACCUGAAAAAAGAUUAAUUAUUUUAUAAAAUAAGUUCCAAUUUCUUAGUAGCUUGGCUUAACAGUAAAUUCCAAGUGAAUUUAUGUUGUUUAUAGAAUGCAUAUGAGCUUUCAUGUGUAUCAUUCCUUCAAUACCUCUAUAUGGUUACAAAUGAUUGAAGAUAAUCUAUACAUUUCCGUUGAAGUUUACUUUUAUUUUUGAAUAUUUUUAUUUUUAUUUUUAAAAUUUUAGAAAUCAAUAAAAAAGAACAUUUUGGUGAUGGAAUACAGGGAAAAUGCAGUGGAAAAUGAAUGAAAUGAUUUUCACAUCCCUUUCCAGUCUCAAUCAUCGCUACAACCAGUUCAAGCAGACCUCAUCUCUCAGCUUUGUGAUCUGUAGACUGCUAUAGAAGCUUGAUUUGUUCAAUUUGGCAACAACUGCAGAGGCUAGGUCCGGACAUCGCAGCCGCCUCGCGCUGUUUUCCAAAAUCCUCUCUCACUUGGGCAUGCUCGAUGAGUGCUGCAACACUACCAUCCCUGAAUCAGAAGAUACUCAGAAGGAAGAAGAAGAAGAAAGUUGUGGAAUAUCAAAAGUUUUUUGCUUUGUGAAGGUCAGGAAGGCACACCUAUCUGGGCAAUGUCAGGAUGUCUAGGCUUGGGUGGAGACGUGGACUUAUGGAAGAGGUGAAGUAGCUUAGCUCUAUUUCAUUAGCUCUUAUCUGCUCUAUUAAUACUAAGAUCAAUAGUAAAAAGUUCUAUUGGUUUUAUAAUCAAAGAUACAUAUAGUGUAUAAACAGAGGAUAUAGCAUUAGUUUCUUUAUGUAAACAAUGAUAAUUUGAGGAGCCAUUUAAAUUAUUUUCGUAAUUAGCAUACUUUAACUUAAAUGUGAUAUAUCCGUUUAGUAUGUCUUUUGAAGUACAUGAAAAUAUGUAAAAAAAAAACCCUAAUAAAUCUAAUUAUGGGGGUUUUGUUUUAUAUCAAAAUAUUGCAGCAGAAGUCAUACUUUGAAGAGUUCCUCUUAAUAUAUUUUCAAUUUAUAACCUAAUUUUAAUUUGUCUUAAAUUUUUAAAGAUAUAAGAAUUUCGAUUUCAAUUUUAUUUUGAGAAUUCAUAUACUUACCUUUCUUUUACAUAUUCUUGAAGCUCAUGAUAAGCCUUCCUCUUUAGAUAUAGAUAUAUCUUCUUUUAAUGCACUUAGAUGCUUUAAUUUUUUUUUGAACAAUUUGUAUGUGCAGAGUAAUGAAGUCUAUCAUUGGCAUCAAUGACAUUCAAACACAUCUAUCUAAUGAAUGGCUGAAAGCAUGGAUAUAAUAUGCAUUUUCUUUGUCAUUUCAAUGCAAUGAUAAGCUAGGUUUAAGCGUUGAAUUGGGUUCCUUUAAUUAUGUCAUCUACUGAUCUCAUAAUAUUCUCACCUACAAUGAAGCAACGAAGAAAUAACAUGUACAAGUAUUUUGUUUUAAUUUUUUUACCAAUAUGAGUGUUUAGCAAAAGUUCCAGCCAUCUUCACACGGUAAGUGUGUAUCUGAUCAUUUAUUUUUAAAUACAAUUGUCUUAUCUUAAAGUGCCAAUUGCUAAAAUAUAGAAAUCCAAUCCAUUUUUAAAACAAUUGAGAAGCAUGCUAUAAGACAAUUUGGUUCUUCAGUUCAUCUUCUAGGACAUUGUAUGACCUUAACGGAUGCAUCUUUGAAUCAAUGCUUCAUAAUUUUUCUACUGAAUGGCCGAGUGGGUUUCUUUAUCCUAAGAAUUUUUUUCUGCAAUUUCUUUUUGAUUCUCUUUUUUUUUUUUUUUUUUUUUGUUCGAUCAUUUUCCUCUUAGUUAGGCUGACUAUUUUCUUUUGGGUUCUCAUUUGUUUACCCAAUUCUACUUUUGGAUUUGAUUCUUGACUGACGGGAUGUUGUAAUGAUGUGUAAUAAUGUUUAGUAUUCUUUAAUUUAUUUUUAUUUAUUUAUUUGAAUUUGGGAAAUCAAAUUAUCCAAUGGAAAUAAACUGUUACUUUACAGUAUGGCAUCAAGUUUAGAAUGACAACUAUGAAUGCCCAAGUUAUGAUUAAUCCCCCUAUUAGUUCAUUCGAAUUUGAUGUUAUCUCAUUUGGUCAAGAAGUAUAUACAACCGUCUUUAUACUUAAGAGAAAUUCAGUACAUUGGACAACAUCAUUCGCCCUCUUUUUUUUUUUUUUUUUUAAUUACUUUUUCUUAAUCUAUUUUCCCCCUCAAUUUUUCUACCAUGCCCUUUCAUUUGGUUUUUUAUUUUUCUACAGGUUUUCAUUUGAAAGGAAAAUAUUGCAUUCGAAUGAAUUCUACAUCGCUGCUCAGGUCCAUGAUUUUUUACCCCUUGCUCAGGCAUUAUUUUCUUUUCACUGCAUAUUGGUUAUAACUUUCUGUUUGGAAAUGCCUUGUUUUUCUUUCACUUGUUGAAAAUGUCUUUGCCAAAUUUUUGAGGCAUUUUCCUUGUUUCUUCUUAUCUUCUUCUUUCUUUGUCCAAUUAUAAAGUAGUUCUUCGUUUUUGUUUAUAUAAAGACCUUUUCUUUGUCCAAGGAUGCCUAACCCAACUCUUUCUAAUUUAAAUGCACUUAUUUUAUCGCACAUUGUAUCUGAUAGAGUAUAUGAAAAACAUAUUAUAUAUGCUCCUUCAUUAGUAUAUAAUAAAAAACUCCAUCUUACCUUUGGUUGUGUGUCCCCCAUUUGUUUACUUAUAUGUUCUACUGCUUCUUCGUCAAAUUAAUCACAGCAGAUUGUGCUCAAUGUGCAUCGCUGUACGUUCUUCCGAACCAACUUGCUUGUGAUUAUUGCGAGGCCUUAGAAAUAACGUGCCUGCUGUGUCCAUUUUUCUUUCUUUGCUUACAUCUUUGCGAUGAACUUCUGUCCUUGUAUAGUCGAAGUAAGGGAGAAAGAAAUCUCAGUAAAGCUUCAAGAAGCGAAUACGAUUUGACUGAUCACCGUCCUUCGUAUAUAAAGAAUCGAAUUCUGAAUGCA
Long non-coding RNA from Pyrus x bretschneideri (Chinese white pear), 3817 nucleotides. RefSeq lists it as uncharacterized. The transcript is spliced from 4 exons. NCBI's taxonomy places the organism in Eukaryota, Viridiplantae, Streptophyta, Magnoliopsida, Rosales, Rosaceae. The record is from RefSeq and is a predicted model, not a curated record.